GGGUGGAUACUUACCAACAUA
This 21-nucleotide microRNA is filed under the name Ananas comosus (pineapple). RNAcentral describes it as "microRNA s0804_c110a". The record is from RNAcentral. Lineage: Eukaryota; Viridiplantae; Streptophyta; Magnoliopsida; Poales; Bromeliaceae.